Molecule: ribosomal RNA, 510 nt
Filed under: uncultured bacterium
Lineage: Bacteria
Description: bacterial SSU rRNA
Rfam family: Bacterial small subunit ribosomal RNA
Source: RNAcentral
GAUCCUGGCUUAGGAUGAACGCUAGCGGCAGGCUUAACACAUGCAAGUCGAGGGGCAGCGGGAUGUAGCAAUACAUUGCCGGCGACCGGCGGAUGGGUGCGUAACGCGUAUGCAACCUACCUUAUACAGGGGAAUAACCUUUCGAAAGGGAGACUAACACCCCAUGGUAUUGAUUUAAGGCAUCUUAGAUUAAUUAAAUAUUUAUAGGUACAAGAUGGGCAUGCGUAUGAUUAGCUAGUUGGUAAGGUAACGGCUUACCAAGGCGACGAUCAUUAGGGGUUCUGAGAGGAAGGUCCCCCACACUGGUACUGAGACACGGACCAGACUCCUACGGGAGGCAGCAGUGAGGAAUAUUGGUCAAUGGGCGCAAGCCUGAACCAGCCAUGCCGCGUGCAGGAAGACGGCCUUAUGGGUUGUAAACUGCUUUUACAUAAGACUAACCGUAUAUUUGCGAAUAUACCUGAAUGUAUUAUGAGAAUAAGGAUCGGCUAACUCCGUGCCAGCCGCCGC